This 670-nucleotide ribosomal RNA is filed under the name Curtobacterium citreum. RNAcentral describes it as "bacterial SSU rRNA". It matches the Rfam family "Bacterial small subunit ribosomal RNA", at positions 95 to 778 of the family's 1533-position model. Lineage: Bacteria; Bacillati; Actinomycetota; Actinomycetes; Micrococcales; Microbacteriaceae. The record is from RNAcentral.
GUGGCGAACGGGUGAGUAACACGUGAGUAACCUGCCCCUGACUCUGGGAUAAGCGUUGGAAACGACGUCUAAUACUGGAUAUGACUGCCGGCCGCAUGGUCUGGUGGUGGAAAGAUUUUUUGGUUGGGGAUGGACUCGCGGCCUAUCAGCUUGUUGGUGAGGUAAUGGCUCACCAAGGCGACGACGGGUAGCCGGCCUGAGAGGGUGACCGGCCACACUGGGACUGAGACACGGCCCAGACUCCUACGGGAGGCAGCAGUGGGGAAUAUUGCACAAUGGGCGAAAGCCUGAUGCAGCAACGCCGCGUGAGGGAUGACGGCCUUCGGGUUGUAAACCUCUUUUAGUAGGGAAGAAGCGUAAGUGACGGUACCUGCAGAAAAAGCACCGGCUAACUACGUGCCAGCAGCCGCGGUAAUACGUAGGGUGCAAGCGUUGUCCGGAAUUAUUGGGCGUAAAGAGCUCGUAGGCGGUUUGUCGCGUCUGCUGUGAAAUCCCGAGGCUCAACCUCGGGCUUGCAGUGGGUACGGGCAGACUAGAGUGCGGUAGGGGAGAUUGGAAUUCCUGGUGUAGCGGUGGAAUGCGCAGAUAUCAGGAGGAACACCGAUGGCGAAGGCAGAUCUCUGGGCCGUAACUGACGCUGAGGAGCGAAAGCGUGGGGAGCGAACAGGAU